GACGAACGCUGGCGGCGUGCCUAACACAUGCAAGUGGUGCGACGAACCAGGGCUUGCCCUGGGGCAGAGCCGCGAACGGGUGAGUAACACGUGGGCAACCUGCCCCGAUGACUGGGACAACCCGGGGAAACCCGGGCUAAUACCGGAUGUUCUCCCUCACAUCAGUGAGGUGAGUAAAGGAAGCUUCGGCCUCCGCAUUGGGAUGGGCCCGCGGCCCAUUAGCUUGUUGGUGGGGUAAUGGCCUACCAAGGCAACUAUGGGUAGCUGGUCUGAGAGGACGAUCAGCCACACUGGGACUGAGACACGGCCCAGACUCCUACGGGAGGCAGCAGUGGGGAAUCUUGCGCAAUGCGCGAAAGCGUGACGCAGCAACGCCGCGUGGGGAAGAAGGCCU
RNAcentral lists this ribosomal RNA (394 nucleotides) under uncultured bacterium. RNAcentral describes it as "bacterial SSU rRNA". It matches the Rfam family "Bacterial small subunit ribosomal RNA", at positions 28 to 417 of the family's 1533-position model. The record is from RNAcentral.